Long non-coding RNA from Papaver somniferum (opium poppy), 2699 nucleotides. RefSeq lists it as uncharacterized. The record is from RefSeq and is a predicted model, not a curated record. The transcript is spliced from 6 exons. NCBI's taxonomy places the organism in Eukaryota, Viridiplantae, Streptophyta, Magnoliopsida, Ranunculales, Papaveraceae.
CCUAUUGGAAAUCCCUUACUUUUUUUCUUUCCGUCUCUUUGUUUCUCUGUAUCAAUAAACCCUUACUCUCUUUUUUUUUUUAUUUUUUUCAGGAAACUAACUCCUAUUGGAAAUCCCUUACUCCUUUGCUUUCUUUCUCUUUAUUUCUCCGAAUGAAUAAACCCUAACCCUUUUUUUUAUUUUGCAGGUGCGAGUUUUGUCUAAGAUAAGUUACUGAGAAACCCUAAUAGCCAUUCAAGAAAAGAUCUCAAGAUUCAGGUCAAAAGCCAAUUCCAAUUGAUUUUUAAGGUUAAUAGCCAAUUCCAAGUGAAAGUUUUAAUAGUAAAAACUCGCCCGUGCUGCAUCUCGGUCUUGGACAAAUGCUGCAAUGGUGAUGCAAAUGGAAAAAAUGACGCUUAGUCAUGUGGAGGAUGCACAAGGGAUUUGAGGUGAGAAGAUUGUGUUAGUAAAGGGUUCAGAGGUGAUUUGUGGUAAUGGACAUCAAGGAAGAUAAACUCCAGAAGGUUUGGGAUUUUAGGGAAGCGGCAUAAGCUGUUACUGAUAGAUUAAGUUGUUACUGAUAGAUUAAGUGUUGUACUUAUAUUGGAAUCUUAAUCUCAUUAAUAAUUGUGAUUACUACUACCCAUCUGUAUUCUUGGUUCAGAUAUUUGCAUUUGCCGCUAAUGGAAAGUCAUGGCAUAAAAUAUUUGCAUACUAUUUGGUUGGUUUUGACGAAUUAUGCUUCUUCAAUAUAUUUAGUCUUAAUCAUACCAUUUUAAGUUCAUAUGGAAAAUCAUAAAAAAGUUGUCGAUGUGCUAGAGGAGAAUUUAUAUCACACUUUUACAGUAAGGACUCAAACUCUUACCUCGAUGAUGCCCACGGUAAGUGCUCUCUUAAGUUAAUUGAAGGUUUGUUUGAGUUAUUGGGAUUUGAAAGUGUUAUGGUUUGUUAAUAUUGGUCAGUUUAUUUUGUUAGAAUUUAUCUGUUCUUUGCUGCGAUCGAACUUAAGUACUGAUUAAUUGGGUAUAUAUAUUUUCUUUAAUUUUUCAGCAGUAGUGGUUACUAAUAAUGAAUCUGUCAGUCACGAUUUAGUAAUUUGAAGUAUGUUCGUUCUCAUUGCUGGUGAAUCAAUUGGCCAGGUAGCCCAAAAUUACGAAAGCUAUCAUUUUAUUCAUAGUGGGUUUCAUGUUUAGUGUUGUUCUUAAGAAAACAUAAGUAAAAUGCCGAAAUCCAGUUGAUGUUAAUUGUUCAAGGUAGUCUUAAAAGUGUAAUGGUGUAUGAUUUGAGCUAUGAUUUGAGCUAUGAUUUCCCAUGAGAAAAGAUUGGAAGAAGUACGAAUAGUUUCUGCCGGAAAAGGGAACUAGGUAAACUUCCAUCUGGUUCUUACUGAUUUCAGUAUUUUGAUUCAUUAUUUGUUAUGAGAGAGGUAGCAAGGUAUAAGUUGAUUUUCACUGUGAAAUUUUGGAAGCCUUAGUGCUGAAAGCUGAUAAAGCUGAUACCACUAAUUUUGCAUGUAGUGUGGGCAAUUUUACAUGUGCCUGGUGAGUACCUUUUCUUUUUUUGUAAUUUCAUAAUCGCCUUAGUAAUUUCAUUCUGUGUGUUCUGCGUCUUUGGAUCGUAUGCGCUUUCUGUAUUGCUUUUUUUCUUGCAGUGUGCAUUACUAUUUUCUUGGCAGUAUCUGUUUCAGACUAACAUAUCUUUCGCCGCAUGCAGCUCUUUGUGGGUUUCAAUCAUUGGUUUAUGUUAGUAUAUCCUUCAAUGACAUCCCCAUAGUGAGAUUUUUUGCCGCGUUGAUACCCUUGAAGCUGGUGCUAUAGUUGUUCUCAAAUCCGAAGGGUCAUGGAUAGACUGUGGGUAUCAGCUUACAACAUCCAUAGUGUCGCCGCCGCUGCCCAGCCUUUCUUUUUCCUUCGCUUCACAUGAGAAUACAAGGAUUAGUUGUGAUUCAAGGGGCGGUGUUCAUCCAAGCGGGGUCAUAGUUGUUCCUUGAUUGAGCAUUAUUCUAAUGUGCAGCUUGAGCAAGUAUUCUAAUAUGCUACUUUUUAGUUCAGCAUUACUUCGUUAAUGCUAAAAAACUAAAACUGCGGAGUAAGAAUCCAGAUGGUUGGUUGCUGAGCACACAUUUUGCACUCCAUAUUAUCAUCUCAAUUGUACGACUGAAUUAAUUAUGGGUCUAUAUGAGGUAAAACUUUGCGCUGUAUAAUUUCUGGAAUUGAUUCACUCAUUAAAAUUGUCAUACUGAAAUUGAACAUCAACUGUUCUACCGCACAUUGGUAGGAAACUGGCCAGAAAAUGAUAUCUUCAUACCCUGAAGCACUUUAUACUUAUGGGAUGUGAACGUGAAGAUGACCUACUGAUGUUAAUUGAAUAUGGUAUGUUAUAACUGUUUGAUUUUACAAGAAUGUAGCCUGCUUGAUUUCAUUGGCUUAGUUGGUUUUGCUCUCCCUCAAGUCGGUGACGUCAUCUUUGAAUUCUGGUCAUGCAAAUUUCAUCAUUUGCGGAUCAGUUCAGCAACUCACACAAUCUGACAUUUCCUUUUCAUUUUUAAUGCACACGCCUUGACUAUGUAUAUACUUAGGACUUGACCAAUGAUAUUGGCACUGACUGAAUGGACAAUGUAAGGGUUAAACACGGAUACAUUAAAGAUGUGUUCACUAUCCAAAAGGAUAUGACCGAAUACUUGCUUUUCCAAUGAUAUUGCCACUGAAUGGUCAAGUUAA